RNAcentral lists this unclassified non-coding RNA (519 nucleotides) under Zea mays. RNAcentral's name for it is "misc RNA Zm00001eb035250". The record is from RNAcentral. Lineage: Eukaryota; Viridiplantae; Streptophyta; Magnoliopsida; Poales; Poaceae.
UUGCGAGGGAGGCGUUUGAACAAGGAGUUCAUCACACGUAUUACAGCAGAACCCGCGAGGGAGGCGCUUGAACAACGAACUCAAUCUCAGCCACACACGUUGCUCAAGGCCAAAAAAGAAUCCAUCCAGAGACUUCCCAUCGGAAUACCAACGCAGAACAGCGCUCGACGAGUACGGCACCCAAUCUCCCAGCCCCGGCGGCGCCCGACCUCCAAACCCAGCAGCGCCCUGGCUUGGAUCCCGACGGCGGCGUCCUCCCUCGCGUCCCGGCGGCGGCGGCCUCCCACACGUCCCGACGGCGGCGUCCUCCCUCGCGUCCCGACGGCGGCGUCCUCCCACACGUCCCAACGGCGGCGGCCUCCCCCGACCCCAAACAGCAGCGCCCUGCCUCCGACAUCAACGAUGCUCUCCAUUGUCAACCUGGUGGCAGUAGCUAUUUGCCUUUCACAAAAGCAAAAACAAGAGAGUGGGGACCAAGAGAAUAAGAUGGAGGGGACCAAGAGAAGAGAAGGAGGAUAG